AUAAUGAUACUUCUUUACCGCCGUAGUCCGAGCGUUAAAAGCGUCGCAGGCAACGGGUAGAGCUGCAUGAGAACCAUGCGGAAGUGAAAUUCUUGUGA
RNAcentral lists this non-coding RNA (98 nucleotides) under unclassified sequences. RNAcentral describes it as "pemK RNA". It matches the Rfam family "pemK RNA". The record is from RNAcentral.